RNAcentral lists this long non-coding RNA (322 nucleotides) under Malus domestica (apple). RNAcentral describes it as "long non-coding RNA (MDOM_LNC019363)". The record is from RNAcentral. Lineage: Eukaryota; Viridiplantae; Streptophyta; Magnoliopsida; Rosales; Rosaceae.
UUCAUUUAAUUUCUUCACUAUCGCCCUUACUCGGUGUACGAUCCAUUAGGUUCUAAUUAGCGAGGUAGUGGGCGAUUGUUACUCUUAACAAUCGAUUGUGAAUUGAAACCACAUUUCAAUUCUCCCUUAAAAUUAGUGUUUGCUAAUCAUUAGGGCUUCCACAAACCAUGAGUGACACCUAGCAGUAUGUCAUGGUUACCCAAGCUAAGUAGAAGUGGUUGGAGAACCUAUCCAAUUACAAUUACAAUGUAAUACGGUCCUUCUCUAAUACAAUACUCUUAAUCACAUUGUUUGAAUGAUAGUUUGUUUCAUGUCUACUAUC